UGAUAAAGGUCACAAAAUUUGCGGGUGAUGAUGUUUGGGAAAGGAUACAGGAUGCACAAGUUCAUCUGGAUCGACUGACUCAGGAAAGAGAUGCCAUUAAUGUUCGCAAGAAGAAGCAAAAGGCUAUUUGUGAUGAGUAUCGGGGAAAAUUAGAGGCAACACGAC
Brachypodium distachyon (stiff brome) is the source of this 165-nucleotide long non-coding RNA. RefSeq lists it as uncharacterized. The record is from RefSeq and is a predicted model, not a curated record. Lineage: Eukaryota; Viridiplantae; Streptophyta; Magnoliopsida; Poales; Poaceae. The transcript has 2 exons.